RNAcentral lists this ribosomal RNA (433 nucleotides) under uncultured bacterium. Its description in RNAcentral is "partial 16S ribosomal RNA". It matches the Rfam family "Bacterial small subunit ribosomal RNA", at positions 29 to 507 of the family's 1533-position model. The record is from RNAcentral.
AACGAACGCUGGCGGCAUGCCUAACACAUGCAAGUCGAACGAGACCUUCGGGUCUAGUGGCGCACGGGUGCGUAACGCGUGGGAACCUGCCCUUAGGUUCGGAAUAACUCCCCGAAAGGGGUGCUAAUACCGGAUAAUGUCUUCGGACCAAAGAUUUAUCGCCUUUGGAUGGGCCCGCGUUGGAUUAGCUAGUUGGUAGGGUAAAAGCCUACCAAGGCGACGAUCCAUAGCUGGUCUGAGAGGAUGAUCAGCCACACUGGGACUGAGACACGGCCCAGACUCCUACGGGAGGCAGCAGUGGGGAAUAUUGGACUAUGGGCGAGAGCCUGAUCCAGCAAUGCCGCGUGAGUGAUAAAGGCCGUAGGGUUGUAAAGCUCUUUUACCCGGGAUGAUAAUGACAGUACCGGGAGAAUAAGCUCCGGCUAACUCCGUG